Molecule: ribosomal RNA, 1370 nt
Filed under: uncultured bacterium
Lineage: Bacteria
Description: bacterial SSU rRNA
Rfam family: Bacterial small subunit ribosomal RNA
Source: RNAcentral
GAAUUCGCCCUUAGAGUUUGAUCCUGGCUCAGGACGAACGCUGGCGGCACGCUUAACACAUGCAAGUCGAACGAGAGAAGAGAAGCUUGCUUUUCUGAUCUAGUGGCGGACGGGUGAGUAACACGUGAGCAAUCUGCCUUUCAGAGGGGGAUACCGAUUGGAAACGAUCGUUAAUACCGCAUAAUAUAAUUGAACCGCAUGAUUUGAUUAUCAAAGAUUUAUCGCUGAAAGAUGAGCUCGCGUCUGAUUAGCUAGUUGGUAAGGUAACGGCUUACCAAGGCGACGAUCAGUAGCCGGACUGAGAGGUUGAUCGGCCACAUUGGGACUGAGACACGGCCCAGACUCCUACGGGAGGCAGCAGUGGGGAAUAUUGCACAAUGGAGGAAACUCUGAUGCAGCGAUGCCGCGUGAGGGAAGAAGGUUUUAGGAUUGUAAACCUCUGUCUUCAGGGACGAAAAAAGACGGUACCUGAGGAGGAAGCUCCGGCUAACUACGUGCCAGCAGCCGCGGUAAUACGUAGGGAGCGAGCGUUGUCCGGAAUUACUGGGUGUAAAGGGAGCGUAGGCGGGAUCGCAAGUCAGAUGUGAAAACUAUGGGCUUAACCCAUAAACUGCAUUUGAAACUGUGGUUCUUGAGUGAAGUAGAGGUAAGCGGAAUUCCUAGUGUAGUGGUGAAAUGCGUAGAUAUUAGGAGGAACAUCAGUGGCGAAGGCGGCUUACUGGGCUUUAACUGACGCUGAGGCUCGAAAGCGUGGGGAGCAAACAGGAUUAGAUACCCUGGUAGUCCACGCCGUAAACGAUGAUUACUAGGUGUGGGGGGACUGACCCCUUCCGUGCCGCAGCAAACGCAAUAAGUAAUCCACCUGGGGAGUACGACCACAAGGUUGAAACUCAAAGGAAUUGACGGGGGCCCGCACAAGCAGUGGAGUAUGUGGAUUAAUUCGAAGCAACGCGAAGAACCUUACCAGGUCUUGACAUCGUAUGCAUAGCUCAGAGAUGAGUGAAAUCUCUUCGGAGACAUAUAGACAGGUGGUGCAUGGUUGUCGUCAGCUCGUGCCGUGAGAUGUUGGGUUAAGUCCCGCAACGAGCGCAACCCUUACUGUUAGUUGCUACGCAAGAGCACUCUAGCAGGACUGCCGUUGACAAAACGGAGGAAGGUGGGGAUGACGUCAAAUCAUCAUGCCCCUUAUGACCUGGGCCUCACACGUACUACAAUGGCUGUUAACAGAGGGAUGCAAAGCCGCGAGGUGGAGCGAACCCCUAAAAGCAGUCUUAGUUCGGAUUGUAGGCUGCAACCCGCCUACAUGAAGUCGGAAUUGCUAGUAAUCGCAGAUCAGCAUGCGGCGGUGAAUACGAACCCGGGCCUUGCAC